AAUCAACGCUGGCGGCGUGCCUCAGACAUGCAAGUCGAACGAUUAAAGCUCUCUUCGGAGAGUGUAUAGAGUGGCGCACGGGUGAGUAACACGUAAGUAAUCUACCUUCGAGUGGGAAUACCGUCCGGAACGGACGCUAAUACCGCAUAAUGCAGCGGCAUCGUAAGAUGACAGUUGUUAAAGAUUUAUCGCUUGAAGAGGAGCUUGCGGCAGAUAGUCUAGUUGGUAAGGUAAUGGCUUACCAAGGCUACGAUCUGUAACCGGUCUUAGAGGACGGUCGGUCACACUGACACUGAAUAACGGGUC
RNAcentral lists this ribosomal RNA (306 nucleotides) under uncultured bacterium. RNAcentral describes it as "bacterial SSU rRNA". It matches the Rfam family "Bacterial small subunit ribosomal RNA", at positions 32 to 332 of the family's 1533-position model. The record is from RNAcentral.